This 563-nucleotide ribosomal RNA is filed under the name Escherichia coli. RNAcentral's name for it is "partial 23S ribosomal RNA". It matches the Rfam family "Bacterial large subunit ribosomal RNA", at positions 1025 to 1591 of the family's 2925-position model. The record is from RNAcentral. Lineage: Bacteria; Pseudomonadati; Pseudomonadota; Gammaproteobacteria; Enterobacterales; Enterobacteriaceae.
ACCCAGACCGCCAGCUAAGGUCCCAAAGUCAUGGUUAAGUGGGAAACGAUGUGGGAAGGCCCAGACAGCCAGGAUGUUGGCUUAGAAGCAGCCAUCAUUUAAAGAAAGCGUAAUAGCUCACUGGUCGAGUCGGCCUGCGCGGAAGAUGUAACGGGGCUAAACCAUGCACCGAAGCUGCGGCAGCGACACUAUGUGUUGUUGGGUAGGGGAGCGUUCUGUAAGCCUGUGAAGGUGGCCUGUGAGGGUUGCUGGAGGUAUCAGAAGUGCGAAUGCUGACAUAAGUAACGAUAAAGCGGGUGAAAAGCCCGCUCGCCGGAAGACCAAGGGUUCCUGUCCAACGUUAAUCGGGGCAGGGUGAGUCGACCCCUAAGGCGAGGCCGAAAGGCGUAGUCGAUGGGAAACAGGUUAAUAUUCCUGUACUUGGUGUUACUGCGAAGGGGGGACGGAGAAGGCUAUGUUGGCCGGGCGACGGUUGUCCCGGUUUAAGCGUGUAGGCUGGUUUUCCAGGCAAAUCCGGAAAAUCAAGGCUGAGGCGUGAUGACGAGGCACUACGGUGCUGAAGC